CCGGACCACAGAAACUCCCUCUUUUCUCCAGACCUCUGUUUGGGUGGCUGCGCUCAGUGGGAGGCGCUCUGCUGCCUGCAGCUGCAUGUCUCUGCUGGUGUGUCGCUCUGCGUCUGCUCCGGAGGAAACAGCAGGAUGAAGGUCAUGAAGGUCAUCUGGAGGAUAAAGGAAGGCAAGUCCUGUCUGCUGAUGGAUGUGUGGCUCAGAAGGAGCUCAUCAGGAGAAGCUGAUAUCCAGAAGCGUCCUGAAUCUGAAACCAGAGCAGCGUGAUUACGUUUCCAUGCACAUCACACCGCUGAAGGUGCUCUUGCAUAAUCAAAUGGUUAAACAGUCACUAGAUGCAUUAUUAAUAUAAGCCUUUGGUUCUUCUUCCUGUGAGCCAGUUUGUGAAUAUUGUAAUAAUUACUUUGGGGAUUUGAGCGGAUGACAUUACCUUUAUUGAAAUGUUGAGAUUAUUUUCUGUUUUCCUAAAAAAAAACUUUGACUUCUUAUUUUUAUACUGUUUAUCAUUUAGAAUGUGAUUCUUCCUUCAUUGUGAUUUGUGACCUUUUGUUAACUGGCCUUUAUUGUCUAAAGGAUUAUUGCACUGGUUUAUUUUCAUUUAUAAAUCAAUAAUUAAUUUACUAUCAGAGCCUCUAGCUUCCUAUGUGUCACUUCAAAAGAAUACUUAGAGACGUUUAAUACGUUUAUUUUCCAUCAUUAUGUGUUGGAAAAGAGACAUUUUCACUUAAAAUAAACCAUAACAGAACCAGCA
This is a long non-coding RNA of Poecilia latipinna (sailfin molly), 754 nucleotides long. RefSeq lists it as uncharacterized. The record is from RefSeq and is a predicted model, not a curated record. Lineage: Eukaryota; Metazoa; Chordata; Actinopteri; Cyprinodontiformes; Poeciliidae. The transcript is spliced from 2 exons.